GUUACAGUGAUUGAGAGAGUUUGGGUGUAUUGGGGUUUUUGGGAAGUGAGCUAAAAUACUACAAUACUUGUAACUCCUUUUCACUAGUAAAAUAUUUCCUUCUGUCUUCGCCCGUGGAUGUAGGCUAAAAGCCGAACCACGUAAUUUCUGGUGUCCUCUAUUGUGCUUGUUCUUUAUUUGGGUUGGACAUCCACAGGGGAUCCAUAUGCCAAUGUUGGUGAUGCAGGAUUGAGUUUUGACAGCGAAGAGGCUGCAAGAGAAUUUGCUGAGAGACAUGGUUGGGAAUAUGUGGUGAGGAAGCCCCACAGACCAUUGCUGAAUGUGAAGUCAUAUGCAGAACACUUUAAGUGGAAGGGUCCUCCCAAAACAGAUGGAAACUGUUUAUGUUGUCUCACCUGGAUUGUUACCAUAAAACAAGUCAUGGGACUGAGGGUUGAUUUCUUUUGCUGCACAUUCUCUGUAAAUGGCAGAAUGUAGCACUUUGUUGAAUUUGUUGAUUAUAAUAAAACGGGACAUGUGGAUUGUAACCCUUUGCUCCUUUUAUGAUUUCUACAGAGAAGACAUGGAGCAUUUGGUGUUCCCCUGAGAAAAAAAAUAAAUCAAUUAACAAUCAUAUGAACAAAACUCAGAAAAACAAAAUAAAUUAACAAUCAUAUGAGCAAAACCCAAAAAAACAAAAUAAAUUAACAAUCACAUGAACAAAAUAGAUGUAGCAAAAUUUACCCACAUAGAUGCAGCACCACCACCAUCACUAGGCGAAUCAGAGCAGAGACGUAGCAGCACCACCACUAGCCGAAUCAAAGCAGAGACGAAGAGGCAGCAGAAGCAGCCGUCGAUUCUCAAUUACAGCAGCAACAGAGCAGAGACGCAAUAGCAAUAGCACACGGAGCUGAGAUGCAGCAGCAACUUUCUCUCUCAACACAGCAGCAGUAGCAGCUUUCUCUCUCAACGCAAUAGGCGAUUUUGCUUGAAGAACUAUGACAGUCAAUUGUUGAUGAAAUACAAGAGUAUUCACGAAGAGAGACAG
RNAcentral lists this long non-coding RNA (1027 nucleotides) under Citrus sinensis (sweet orange). RNAcentral's name for it is "long non-coding RNA (CSIN_LNC004878)". The record is from RNAcentral. Lineage: Eukaryota; Viridiplantae; Streptophyta; Magnoliopsida; Sapindales; Rutaceae.